UUUUUUUUUUUUUUUUUUUUUGUUCUGACGCAAAUGGCUGGCUUUGAAAUUACAAAUAGUUUGGAUUUCAGGUUUUGGUGAAGCUUCUUGUUAUCAACUCUGCCUAUCAAAUCAUUGCAGUUUCUGUAGAAGGACAGCAGAUAUAGAGGUAUUUCCAAAUUUGAAAGUAACAUAUCGGAGUUCCCAUCGUGGCUCAGUGGGAUCGAACCCACAACCUCAUGGUUCCUAGUCAGAUUUGCUAACCACUGAGCCACGACGGGAACUCCCAAUUCCUUAAUAUUAUCUGAUACUCAGUCCAUAUUUCAGAAUUUCUUAGUUGUGCUGAGUGUCUUAUUAUAGUUGAUUUAUUGGAAUCAGAAUCAAAUUAAUAUUCCUAAACUGUAAUUGGUUAUUAUGUCUCUUAAGUCACUUCUAGUAUAACAGUUCUUCCACCCUUUCUUUUUCCCAUGUCAUUGAUUUAUUGGAGAAACAGAGUCACUUGUACUAUAGAAUGUCCCAAAUUCUGAAGUUACUGUUCUGCAGGUGUUUUUGUUUGCCUUGUUCCUUUAUCUUUCGUAUUUCCUAUAAAUUAGUAGUUAAAGAUAGAGAGCUCUGUGGAACCAGUUUGGAUUUUUUUUUUAGGCAAGAAUAUUCUUAGUGGGUUUGGUGUAUGUCUUAUUCUAUCCCAUCAUAAAGAUAAAGUGCGUGGUUUCACAUUUUUAGUGAUGCUAAGAGGAAUCAGUGGGUUCAGGUGGGAUCACUCUGAUCCCUCCAAUAUAAAAUCCCAUCAUCUUUUAACUUAAUUGUUUAAGCAAAAAUUAAUAAUUGAUUCACAAGUCAAUUAACUAUUAACAAAGUGACUUCAUAUCUUUAACGUUUUUUAAAGUAAAUGGAUGCAUUUUAAUUUUCUUCAUGUUUGUUUACAACAUCACUCACUAAUUUUUCCCCUUCACCUUUGAAUCCUAAAUGUGCUCACAUUCAGAAUGCCUUCAGAAUAUACUGAACAUUCCAAGCAUAAAGCUUAGAAUGUUCAGCUUUAUGAGCAAUGAAGACUGGGGGGGGAUGAGGAAGUAAGGAUUAUGUAUCCACCCACCUGCUAAUUUGCUUGUCUCCCCUCCCUUUCUCUCUCUCUCUUUUUGCUUUUCGAGAUUUUAAACUAUGUAGGAUAGUUACGGUUUAGCAGGCCACUGAGGCCUCAUGGGGAUUGGAAAGUGGGACGUGUGUUGACAGCAGUAUUGGUAUUGGGUAUGAAUUGGAUGCAAAUCUGGGAGACAGUUUAGCAUACAGGUUUUAACAUUUGUUGAGUUAGAAUGAAGAUUGGCUUCAAGUAAAAUUGAGAAGCAGCAGCUUGUACUCUCUGCACUUAGCACCCUUUUGUCAUGUAGCCUUUCCUUACUGACUUGGACAAAAGUAAAUUGCACCCCAUGGAUUACUUGUGCUUUGCUGCAUUGUUUUAAAAACAAAUGAUGAAUUUUUUAGUCUUAUGCAUCUCAGUAUAUGACUGCACUUUCUUCCACUUGUCUGCACUAAAAACCUUAGAGUCAUUCUUCCCUCUCUUAUAUCCCACAUCCAAUCCAUUAGCAAAUUCUGUCAAAAUAUGUGUAAAAUCUGACCUCUUCUGACUACCCGACAGCUGUUCUGUUUGUCCAAGGCAACAUUGUUUCUUUCCUGGAUUAUUGCCAUAAACUCCUAACUGGUCUGGCUUUUCCCGUCCAUACCCUCUAAUGGUCUGUUCUCCAAUGAAGCCAGAAGGAUCUUUUUAAAAUGACAGUCAAGAAUGCCACCCUUUAUCCCAAAGCCUCUAGGACUACCUGUCCCACUCGGGAACAUCUAGAGCCUACAGUGUCUACAGGGGCUUCUGUCAUCUCUUGCUGUCCAACUUGCCCACUUGCACUAAUCACACUGGUGUCCUUGGUUUUUCCUUAACUUCCUACACGUCCUUCUUCCUCAUGGUUGUUUCCUUUAAUGUUCCUUCUGUCUCGAAGGCUCACGAUUUCCUUUAGGUCUUUGUCAGCUGUCACUGUAUCAGAAAGCCCUUCCUGGAGUUUCCAUCAUGGCUCAGAGGAAAUGAAUCUAACAUUCAUAAGGAUGCAGGUUCGAUCCCUGGCCUUGCUCAGAGGGUUAAGGAUCUGGUGUUAACGUAAGCUGUGGUGUAGGUCGCAGACACGGCAUGGCUUGGAUCUGGCGUUGCUGUGGCUGUUUUGUAGGCCAGCGGCUACAGCUCUGAUUUGACCCCUAGCCUGGGAACCUCCAUAUGCCAUGGGUGCAGCCCUAUAAAAGAAAAAAAAAAAAAAAAAAGCCCUUCCUUCAUUCUUUGAUAGAUGCCAAAACCUCCCUAUAUGAAGACCUCCCAAAAAUGUAUCUAUUGAUGACAACAUUUUUUUAGGUAUUAUGUUGUAUAUGCAUUUUGGAAAAUUAACAGAAAAUUUAAACUGUGCUAUAAUUUAAACAAUUAAAAAUAACUAUCCUUUAUAAAGUUUCAGUUAUGCUAGAUGAGUAAGUUUUAAAGAUCUGCUAUAUUAUGUAGUGUCAGCUAUUCAUAGGAGGGUGUUUGCACUCCAAAAAAAUGAAAACAAAAGGACACAAGGAGACUUUGGAAGGUGUUGCAAAUGUGUAUUACCUUGAUUGUGGUGAUGGUGCUCUGGGUGUUUACGCAUAUCCAAACUUGUCAAAUUGCACACAGGAAAUAUGGCAUUUCUGGCAUAUCAAUUAUACUUCAAUAAAUCUGUUCAAAAAUACCUCUGCCGACUGAGGGCAAUUCUUGAUCGAAAUUAGAUUGGAGGAAGUUGAACACACUGGAGGAACACUUAAUUUUUUUUCAGGGACAGAUGGAUUAAUCUCCUGGCAAACAAUUUAGAAUCAAAGGUAAUUCUGUUAGCUUAGUUGUUGGGAACUCUGCAGGACCAUUAUAACAUCUAAUAACUCAAAGGUGUGACUUUCUCAUUAAAUAGCUCUUAAUAAGCAGUGUAAUUGGAUCAAGUGAGGCUUUUUUAUCUUGGUAUGUGCUAUGGUGAAACUGUCUCUUUAGACAAUGAUAAAAGACCAUGGUUUCAAGUGAAUAAAUAAGAUCACUGAUUUUCUUUUUUAUUGAGACCAAAAAAAUUGAUCUUACAUUUUUAUUGGAAGAGAAUUAAUAAUUUCUAUUUAAUUUAAAAAAGUAAUGUAUGCCCAUUGUAGGAGAGAAAAUUAGAUAUUGCAAAUAUAAAGAAUUUCAUAGUAUGUGAUCAGACAUUAAUUUAUUAACCUGAAAUGAGCUUAAUAUUUUGCAUACUCGUUUUUUCACUUAAUUUUAAGUCUCCCUAUAAAUAUAAUCUUAAUAUAAACUAUAAACUUAAUAUAAACUAUAGAAUAGUUUAAACUUGAUGGUGUUUAUGAUUGAGUAUAAACAUUUUCAAUUUUUUGCUCUAUCACAAGCAUUUCUUUACAUUACUAAAACUUUAUAAAUGCUGUUUUAUAUUUCUAAUCAAUAUUUUAUCUACAUAUUCCUUAGCUUACCUUUUAGAUCAAUCAAUGAAUAGCUUUACACAAAGAUGCUUGCUUUUAAUUUUAAGCCUUUUGUAGUCUUAUAAUUUUGGAAUUGGAGGUGAAUAAAACCAGAAGCAUGUCUGCCACCCUUUGGGGUAUAGCCAGGAAGUGCCAAACACCAAGGUCAAAUCCUGACUGCUCACUCCCACAGAGUGGAUUAAUUUUGGACCUACCCUAGACUUUUUGCUUUAUGUGCUAAGUUCCCUGUGGAACUGAGGAGUAUGGUAGACUGGGACUUGGGGAGAUCUUGUGGUCUGGGGACCCAUGCUGAUUCUUAUUUCUGUGGCUUUGCUCUGGAGCUGAUCUGGCAUUUGAGGACUGUUGUAUCAGUUUGAAAGUAAGACAGCUUGGGAGCAAUUUCACAAAUAGGGUUUGAAUUUGGACUGAGGGCCAAAAGUAGUCUGAAGUUGAAAUGAAGCUUUUUGAGCAUUGGCUUCAUUCUGAGUUGCUGGCUUGGUGCUAUUCAUAUCAUGUACUUCCAACAUAGUAUUGAUAAGUUCCAUUGAAGCCGUACAUGUGAAAACUGUAUGAUUUGGUUUUAAAGUCUGUGAAAUUAAAAAUAAUUAUCAUGAGGAGCUAAGUGUUCCUCCUCCCCCCUCCUUUCCCCUGCCCCCUGUGUCUUCCUCUCCCCCUCUCUGUCCCACUCCCCCUCUCCUCCUCCUCCUUCAUUUACAUAUAAUUCUUGCUUUUAUCUGAAGUGACAUUCUACACACUGUACUCUGCCAACUGGGCAUUAGCAUUUCAUUGCAGGAUUUUUCUAAUUCUUGAACAUGCUGCUUGGUGUCUCUUUACUAAGGUGAAAGGCUUUGCUAAUGAUCUGCCCAGGGUGGUUGUGAAGGUUAACUAAUAUCAGAUUAUUAAGCACCCUACAAGUAAAAACAGCCAUGAAUAAUGCUGGCUGUGUAAUGGAAAUUUAGUAAAUGUUACUUCUUUGGGUAAUUGUAUGAUUAAAAUGCCUUUUAUCCCAGUGGGAAAUACACAGAGGUGAUACUGCGGGUUUUUAAAGGGUUGUAAUACAUAGCAGAUUAAGAGCAUAGCUAUGAUAAAUAAUAGCUGUCAACUGAAGCAUUCAUGUAAAACUUAUGAUGUAUUCAAGUAACAAAGGCCUAUUUUCCAUCUCUAUUAGAUUCAGCUGGAAACAGUGAAGAACCAGUCUUGUGAGCUUUUACAUGUGUUCUUUGACCUUUUAUUUUAUUUUAUUUUUUAAAGAAAAUGUACCAAAAUGAAUUAACAGUGUGAUAAAAUCUCACUAACUUGGAUUCUGCUGAUUUGGGUUUCGGACGUGGCUGAAGUUCAUCUUUAUAUUACCCAUGCAAAAUUAUUUGCUCAGUUUUUUAAAAAAAAGCCAGGAAAAAGGAGUCUGUCUAAUAAGAACUAAUUAUUUUUAAACCUAAAUGUGUUGAUAACUGAAUCUGGUUAUUGUAUUAAUUUGAAGAUAGAGUUGUUUACAAAUUUAUUUUUUUACUUCUGGUUAUUUAUUCUGGUCUUGGUUUCCUAAGUCUUAAUUAAUGAGAAAGAUUUGCAUGUCGAGUCUUAUUUCUCACUUUCCAUUUUGGAAAGUUGA
This 5068-nucleotide long non-coding RNA is filed under the name Sus scrofa (pig). RNAcentral's name for it is "lncRNA (ENSSSCG00005020899.1)". The record is from RNAcentral. Lineage: Eukaryota; Metazoa; Chordata; Mammalia; Artiodactyla; Suidae.